GCCCGGCCCCCGCGACGCCCACGCGGGACGGAGGCACACGGGGCGCGAGGCGCAUGCGCGCGCCGCCGGAGUCCCCGCGUUCCCCAGAUAUAAAUUCGAACAGAAGGGUUCCCAGCUUUUCCAGCUUUGUGUAAUGUCGGUUCUGACACUGAAGCAGCCAAGAAGAAGAUGUAAGACUUACUUUUGAUAUCUGUUAAAGAUGACAUGAGCUGACAGAAAUCAAUAUUUGGAAACUGUAUUUCAUCUGACCAUUUAAACAUGGGAAGAAAAAAAUUACCAGCCAGUUAAGCAGAAAAGAAGAUAGUCCAGGAAAAUGGCCAAUUUGGGCAGACAACUUGGACAAAGAAGAAAUCUGCGUGAAUGAGUAUGGAAAAGCCCUGCAGUGUCAUGAGAAGGUCAGGCCAGGGAGAAAGGAGCAAUCUAUGCCCAAGGACUGUCAUCAGCAGGACAGAUUAUCCAUUUCCAAUUUAGAUAUUUCUGUACUGAAAGUGUUGAUAGUUGGUCAUGUGGAUAUUCCCAACAUCUUCAUCUGGACUGUCAGUAAAAGAUAUCAUCACUUAUGUAAGGAAGGACAUCUUAA
This is a long non-coding RNA of Pseudopodoces humilis (Tibetan ground-tit), 580 nucleotides long. RefSeq lists it as uncharacterized. Lineage: Eukaryota; Metazoa; Chordata; Aves; Passeriformes; Paridae. The record is from RefSeq and is a predicted model, not a curated record.